Serinus canaria (Common canary) is the source of this 2345-nucleotide long non-coding RNA. RefSeq lists it as uncharacterized. Lineage: Eukaryota; Metazoa; Chordata; Aves; Passeriformes; Fringillidae. The transcript is spliced from 3 exons. The record is from RefSeq and is a predicted model, not a curated record.
CAGGGUCUGGAGCCCCCUGCCCGGGUUUGGGAUGCCCAGCCCAGGGUGGCUCAGUUCCCCACCUGCCCCAAGAUGGCACAGGCACACUCCUACAUCAAUCACACACAGAAAUCAUCCUUGCACACACACCCUGCACACCUGCACACACACACCCUGCACACCUGCACACACACACCCUGCACACACACACCUGCACACACACACACAUCACACACACCUGCACACACACACAGACCCUGCACACACAUCACACACACACCCUGCACACACACCCUGCACACCUGCACACACAUCACACACACCUGCACACACACACCCUGCACACACACCUGCACACACACACAGACCCUGCACACACAUCACACACACACUCUGCACACCUGCACACACAUCACACACACCUGCACACACCCCCUGCACACCUGCACACACAUCACACAGAACUGCACACUUAUCACACACCUGCACACCUGCAUACACACUCUGCACACACACACACCUGCACACUCACCUGCACACACAAACAAGGCCUGAUCACACAGAUCAUAUAAACACGACCACACACAUCAUGCCUGCACACACAAUGCGUGUGCACACACGCCAUGCAGGUGCACACAUCACUCGUGAACAUGUGCACACAGCUCACACCUGAGCACACAUCAUACCUGCUUGCACAAACACAGCACGGUGCCACGAGCACCCCGUGACUGCACACAGCACACCACGUGUGGUUACAGCACACCUGGUGGCACACACACAAAUCACACUCAAACACAGGUCAGGCAGGCUUGAACACACUCACCAUGCGUGUGCACACACAAAUCACACUCAGAAACACAGGUCAGGCAGGCUUGAACACACUCACCAUGCGUGUGCACACACAAAUCACACUCAAACACAGGUCAGGCAGGCUUGAACACACUCACCAUGUGUGUGCACACACAAAUCACACACAGAAACACAGGUCAGGCAGGCUUGAACACACUCACCAUGCGUGUGCACACACAAAUCACACACAGAAACACAGGUCAGGCAGGCUUGAACACACUCACCAUGCGUGUGCACACACAAAUCACACUCAAACACAGGUCAGGCAGGCUUGAACACACUCACCAUGUGUGUGCACACACAAAUCACACUCAAACACAGGUCAGGCAGGCUUGAACACACUCACCACGCGUGUGCACACACAAAUCACACUCAGAAACACGGGUCAGGCAGGCUUGAACACACUCACCAUGUGUGUGCACACACAAAUCACACUCAGAAACACAGGUCAGGCAGGCUUGAACACACUCACCAUGCGUGUGCACACACAAAUCACACUCAGAAACACAGGUCAGGCAGGCUUGAACACACUCACCAUGUGUGUGCACACACAAAUCACACACAGAAACACAGGUCAGGCAGGCUUGAACACACUCACCAUGUGUGUGCACACACAAAUCACACUCAAACAAAGGUCAGGCAGGCUUGAACACACUCACCAUGCGUGUGCACACACAAAUCACACUCAAACACAGGUCAGGCAGGCUUGAACACACUCACCAUGCGUGUGCACACACAAAUCACACUCAAACACAGGUCAGGCAGGCUUGAACACACUCACCACGCGUGUGCACACACAAAUCACACUCAAACACAGGUCAGGCAGGCUUGAACACACUCACCAUGCGUGUGCACACACAGGUCAGGCAGGCUUGAACAUGCUCACCACGUGUGUGCACACACAAAUCACACAGGGAAAUCACACACACAAAUCAUCUCACAUGUAUCACACACACAUAUCAUACACACACUUAUCUCACACUUAUCACGUCACACUUAUAAUGCACAUAUCUCACACUUAUCACAGCCAUAUCAUGCACAUGUAUCACACACAAAUCACACACAUCUCACACACAUAUCUUGCACACUUAUCACACCCAUAUCUUACACUUAUCACACAAGUAUCACACACGUAUCUCACCUGUAUCACACACAUAUCUUACACAUACCUUGCACAGUUAUCACACCUAUAUCACACACAUACCUCACACAUCACACACAUAUAUCUCACAUAUCUUACACCCAUAUCUCGCCCAUAUCACACACUUAUCACACACGUAUCACACACCUAUCUCACAUAUCUCACCCAUAUCACACACGUAUCACACACAUAUCUUACACACUUAUCACACCCAUAUCUCACCCAUAUCACACACUUAUCACACAGGUAUCUUACACAUAUCUUACACCCAUAUCACACCCAUAUCAAUUAUCUCACCCAUAUCACACACAUACUUGACACAUCACACAUAUAUGUCACACACAUCCCACACCCCUAUCACACCCCUAUCACACCC